This 205-nucleotide unclassified non-coding RNA is filed under the name Hevea brasiliensis (rubber tree). The record is from RNAcentral. Lineage: Eukaryota; Viridiplantae; Streptophyta; Magnoliopsida; Malpighiales; Euphorbiaceae.
AUAGGAAAGGUUGGAUAAUCUAUCUAUUAGUGCUCUUAUAGUAGGCAAAACUUGAAUAAUUGACAGAUAUUGGGACUUAAAGUUAAACUAAAAUGUAGGAUUAGCAAUACAAUUUGAAAGGGAUUUAAUCACGAAAGAGGGCUAGAAUAGAAAGAAAAGAACAAGGGUUCUAAAGGCAGCAGCUUAGAACAGAUCUUUGUUUACG